GAAAUGCGAUAAGUAGUGUGAAUUGCAGAAUUCAGUGAAUCAUCGAAUCUUUGAACGCACAUUGCGCCCCUCGGCAUUCCGUGGGGCAUGCCUGUUCGAGCGUCAUCUACACCCUCAAGCUCUGCUUGGUGUUGGGCGUCUGUCCCACCUCCGCGCGCGGACUCGCCCCAAAUGCAUUGGCAGCGGUUCCUUGCCCCCCUCUUUGCGCGGCACAUUGCCAUUCGAGGCGGCGGCGGCCCGCGUCCAACAAGCUCAACCCCCCCGUCUUUGACCUCGGAUCAGGUAGGGAUACCCGCUGAACUUAAGCA
Molecule: unclassified non-coding RNA, 308 nt
Filed under: plant metagenome
Description: partial contains 5.8S ribosomal RNA, internal transcribed spacer 2, and large subunit ribosomal RNA
Rfam family: 5.8S ribosomal RNA (bases 1-105)
Source: RNAcentral